RNAcentral lists this ribosomal RNA (460 nucleotides) under uncultured bacterium. Its description in RNAcentral is "partial 16S ribosomal RNA". It matches the Rfam family "Bacterial small subunit ribosomal RNA", at positions 338 to 795 of the family's 1533-position model. The record is from RNAcentral.
CCUACGGGGGGCAGCAGUGAGGAAUAUUGGUCAAUGGACGAGAGUCUGAACCAGCCAAGUAGCGUGAAGGAUGACUGCCCUAUGGGUUGUAAACUUCUUUUAUAUGGGGAUAAAACGUUCCACGUGUGGGAUUUUGUAUGUACCAUAUGAAUAAGGAUCGGCUAACUCCGUGCCAGCAGCCGCGGUAAUACGGAGGAUCCGAGCGUUAUCCGGAUUUAUUGGGUUUAAAGGGAGCGUAGGUGGAUUGUUAAGUCAGUUGUGAAAGUUUGCGGCUCAACCGUAAAAUUGCAGUUGAAACUGGCAGUCUUGAGUACAGUAGAGGUGGGCGGAAUUCGUGGUGUAGCGGUGAAAUGCUUAGAUAUCACGAAGAACUCCGAUUGCGAAGGCAGUUCACUGGACUGCAACUGACACUGAGGCUCGAAAGUGCGGGUAUCAAACAGGAUUAGAUACCCGAGUAGUC